Molecule: ribosomal RNA, 446 nt
Filed under: uncultured bacterium
Lineage: Bacteria
Description: partial 16S ribosomal RNA
Rfam family: Bacterial small subunit ribosomal RNA
Source: RNAcentral
CCUACGGGUGGCUGCAGUCGAGAAUCAUUCACAAUGGGGGAAACCCUGAUGCUGCGACGCCGCGUGAGGGAAUGCAGGUCUUCGGUUGGUAACCUCCUGUCAUGUGGGAGCAAAUUAAAAAGAUAGCACCACAAGAGGAACAGACGGCUAACUAGGUGCCAGCAGCCGCGGUAAGAAGGAGGUCGCAAGCGUUCUUCGGAAUCAGUGGGAGUAAGGGGAGCGUAGGCGGGAUGGUAAGUUGUGUGUGAAAGGCGCCGGCUCAACCUGAGGACGGCACAAGAUACUAGGAUACUAGAGUAAUGGAGAGGAAAGCGGAAUUCCUGGUGUAGCAGUGAAAUGCGUAGAUAUCGGGAGGAACACUAGUGGCGAAGGCGGGUUCCUGGACAGUAACUGACGCUGAGGCACGAAGGCGAGGGGAGCGAAAGGGAUUAGAUACCCGGGUAGUC